Molecule: ribosomal RNA, 428 nt
Filed under: uncultured bacterium
Lineage: Bacteria
Description: partial 16S ribosomal RNA
Rfam family: Bacterial small subunit ribosomal RNA
Source: RNAcentral
GUAGGGAAUAUUGCGCAAUGGACGAAAGUCUGACGCAGCGACGCCGCGUGAGUGAUGAAGGCCUUAGGGUCGUAAAGCUCUGUUGAAUGGGAAGAAAAAAAUGACGGUACCAUUCGAGGAAGGACCGGCUAACUUCGUGCCAGCAGCCGCGGUAAUACGAGGGGUCCUAGCGUUGUUCGGAAUCAUUGGGCGUAAAGGGUGUGUAGGUGGCCAUGUAAGUCAGGUGUGAAAGCCCCGGGCUCAACCCGGGAAGUGCACUUGAUACUGCGUGGCUUGAGUACCGAAGAGGGUAGUGGAAUUCCAGGUGUAGUGGUGAAAUACGUAGAUAUCUGGAGGAACAACGGUGGCGAAGGCGGCUACCUGGUCGAGUACUGACACUGAGACACGAAAGCAUGGGGAUCAAACAGGAUUAGAAACCCUGGUAGUCC